UACAGAGGUCCCAAGCGUUGUUCGGAAUUACUGGGCGUAAAGGGCGCGUAGGCGGCCAUCUAAGUCAGACGUGAAAUCCCCCGGCUUAACCUGGGAACUGCGUCUGAUACUGGACGGCUUGAGUAUGGGAGAGGGAUGUAGAAUUCCAGGUGUAGCGGUGAAAUGCGUAGAUAUCUGGAGGAAUACCGGUGGCGAAGGCGGCAUCCUGGACCAUUACUGACGCUGAUGCGCGAAAGCUAGGGGAGCAAACGGG
Molecule: ribosomal RNA, 253 nt
Filed under: uncultured bacterium
Lineage: Bacteria
Description: partial 16S ribosomal RNA
Rfam family: Bacterial small subunit ribosomal RNA
Source: RNAcentral